This 4987-nucleotide long non-coding RNA is filed under the name Citrus x clementina. RNAcentral's name for it is "Citrus clementina (C. clementina) long non-coding RNA (CCLE_LNC006420)". Lineage: Eukaryota; Viridiplantae; Streptophyta; Magnoliopsida; Sapindales; Rutaceae. The record is from RNAcentral.
UUGAGGCAGGACAAAAUAGUCAUUCCUGGGAAUUGGAGACUUAUUCUCAUCUCCCCCUUGGGAAUGAGUCUCUCAUUCCUCAUUCUUAAAUUGUGGUGGGCCCCACAAUUCUGAUUCCGAUUUUGAUUCCCGACUCUAUCUUGCGAAGUAAACGAUGUCAAUGAUUUUGAUUCCGAAUUCUUAUUCCCUAAUUCGGGAAGUAAACGCAACAUAGGUGGAAUUUAUUAAUUCAAUUACCAUGAGACGGGUUUAUUUACAAUUUUUAGUUUUUAUAUGGGUUUGUUCACAUUUUUUUUAACAUGAUUAUACGUUUUACCCAUAAAAUAACCGUUUCAAUUUAUACAUUGAACUAUAUAGUUCGAUUUAAUUGAAAUAAACAUUUGUCAACACAUGUACAUAUCAACCAUUAAUUAAUCUAAUUAAGUAUGCCUGAACCGUAAAUUCUAAACUCUAAAUUGGAUAACAAUUUUUAUUUUUCAAUCGAAUUAGAUAACAUGAAUACAUGAUCCCUCCUUUUGUAAUAAUAAUUUCACAAAUAAACAUUAACGUGGCUUGUGGAUAAUGUAUUUUAUCUAAUAGGUUCUAGAAUUGAUAAAUUAUUGGUUGUACAUUGGAAAUGGGAGGUAAGAAUUUAAGUGAAAUAUGAUGGCGGAUGAGGAUCAUGACCCCAUUUUUUUUUUUAUCAAUUUAUCAUGAUGCUCUAAGAUAUGUACAAAGAUUGUUGUUGUUUAUAUGCCAACUAUUUCAGUUUCUAAGUAAAGACUUUUGAAAGAAAAGAAGGUUACAAACCAAGGGACACAUAUAUUCUUACCAAAGUUUAUCGUGUUAGCAUUUAUCUGAAGUAUAAAAUAUUCAAUUAAUAUUAGUUUGUUUACAUAUUAGUUUUGUUUCAUUAAAAGAUAUAUUAAAUUAAUUAAUACAAUAGUGAACUUCCAAUUAUUUUUUUUUUUUAAAGCAUAACAAAUUAAAGCCUUUCUCCUCACCUAUGUAAGUAAGGUUUAAACUUCAAAUCUUUCAUAUCAAUUCAAGAGAUUUUAUCCAAUAUAUUAAAGUAUAUAUCCCUUUUAACAAAGAUUCAAAAGAAUAAGAUAUGAUCACAAUGAAAAUGAAAUUGAUAAACUAAGGUACCAACAGUCUGGAAAGGUUUGAUUUAUGGGAAGCAGAGACCACGCCCUUAAAGUCUUUAAUGUCCCACUUUUUCUAACUUUUCUUUUUCUCAUUUAAAAUCAUUUAAAAAUAUUGAAAGCAUAGCUUGUGGCUUUGGUUCUGAGCCAAGGGGUUUCUGGAACUCGAUCACUGAUGAUGGUGCAUGCAUGGACCACCUAUUUAUAUAUAAUUCCAAGGCGGUGACCCCAGCCAUAAACUGGAAUUAUCCGUAGCCACUACUCUAGGCUGCCGACUUGUUCAGGAAACACACAAAAAAAAAAAAAAAGGAGCAAAAUUAGCGAACAAAAUCCAUUACUCACGCUCGAAUUAAAAAAUAGUGUUAUUUUCUUCUUGAAGAUGUAAUAAUUAAUUAUAUUUAUGUGUAGGAUCUUGAUUCUUGAAUCUUCCUCCAGGCGGGCCUGACUCAUUUCAACGGAUAAACACGGAAAAGAAGCGAAAUUGAAAGGGGUAGCUUUUAUUUGUUGCGUGCACAACAUUUGUUAGUGAAGGUAUCCUUGUUAAAUUAACUAUGGUUGGAUAUUUUAACUGAACCGAAGGGUCGACUUAGCUUCUGAACUCUAUUAUCCAAAAAUAUUCAUCCCUGUAUGAAAGUUUCUUGGGUACGUGAUCGCUAUCAAAACUCUCACAGAGUUUUGUCCCCAUUUUCUUAACUAAUAUCAUGCCAAUCCUUUGACUUUUUAUUAUUUAUAUUUUCUGCAUACAUCUCUGAAUACUUCUCAGUUGAUUCCACGACAAAUUUAAUAUCAUCUCUUGUAGUCUCUGUUGUGCACAAGAUUUAUAAUUAAACUGCUUCUCUCCUGGCCUUACAUUCCAUGUUACGGAGAGCUUUUGUCAAUUGUUAAUUGGCAUUUGGCAACCCGGGGAUUCUCGUUCCACGUGACAAGUGUCAGUUCUAUGCAAUUUGCAUGCCUAAAUUCUGGGGAACGGUUUUAAAAACUUUAAAGAUUAGAUGCUUCAGGUCAUUUUCCAAGUUUCCCAUCUCAUGACUUUGUGUGAGUGUAGGUGUUUGUUAGAUGCUUAUAAAAAUUUAGUCACCAUACUAAUUUAUUGAAUAAUAUAUCUUUCUUGCAUUCCAAUUACAAGCAUUUGGAACAAUAUAUUUUGUGAAGAAAAUAAAUAAUUUACCUUAUAAUUGUUAAAGAGUCAUGCUUAGGGCAGAUGUCAGAAAAAAAAAAUUCAUUUGAAUAAAAUUAACAUAUAUCAAGACACAAACUCUAAUACACCAUUUUGUGAAUUUUUUUUCAACUUUGUUUGCGUUUUAAAUUCACCUGGACAUUUGUACAUGACAAAGACAUCUCUAAUUAUAGUCAAACUAGACGGUCGCCUGUGGUCGCCUAUACUAGGAUGGUCCCAUUGUAAUCCCCUAUAUAGUGGGAUGAGCUUUUUCUUUUGGUGUUUCCUUUAUAUACUGAAAUUACUAGAUUUUUAAUGUUACUUAUAAUAGGAAAACCUAUUUUUUAGUCUCUCUUUAAUUAAUAAUUAUCUUACAAUUAAAAAUUUUUAUACAAAUUCUAUAUUUGAUAUCCUGAAUGCUAAAGAGUUAUAGUAUUGUCUAACUGUUGAUUCAUUACUAGUUUUUCUGAUAAAAAGAUUACAUUCUUUACCUUUUUAAAAAAUAAUUAUUUAACAUUAUAAAAUCUUUUUCAUUUUUCUUUUUAAAGAAAACAAUAAUGAUUGAACCACAGAUAGUUUAUCCAAAAUGAUGCGUAUAAACUGAUGUGGCAUGAAUAGAUUACCUGAAAGUGAUAAAAUUUAUUUUUUUUCAAUUAUGUGGUCCUAUAAUGGUUUUAUGCAACCAACUCCUCAUGUCACACCAGUUUGUACACAUUUAUUUGUACAAAGUGAUUGUGGCUCUAUAAUUACUAUAAAAAAUAAGAUGUUAAUUACUAAUUAGUUGUACAAGGCAAUUGUGCCUCUAUAAUUACUAAAUGAACUAGACAUUUGAAUUAUGACUUUGUGUGAGUGCAGGUGUUUGUUUGAUGCCUAUAAAAGUUUAGGCGCCAUACUAAUUUAUUGAAUAAUAUAUCAUUUCUUGCAUUUCAGUUACAAGCAUUUGGAACAAUAUAUUUUGCGAAGAAAAUAAAUAAUUUACAUUAUAAUAGUUAAAAAAUUCAUGCUUAGAUGCAAACAUUAGUACCAAAAAAAAAUCUUUUGAACAAAAUUAAUAUAUAUCAAGACACGAACUCUACUACACUAUUUUUUUGAUUUUUUUUAUUUUUCAACUUUGUUCGCGUUUUAAAUUCACCUAGACAUUUGUACAUGGCAGAGACAUCUCUAAUUAUAGGCGAACUAGGGGUUGCCUGUGGUCGCCUAUACUAGGAUGGUCCCAUUGUAAUCCCCCAGAUAGUGGGAUGAGCUUUUUCUUUUGGUGUUUCCUUUAUAUACUCAAAUUAAUAGAUUUUUAAUGUUACUUAUAAUAGGAAAGUCUAUUUUUUAGUCUCUCUUUAAUUAAUAAUUAUCCUGCAAUUAAAAUUUUUUAUACAAAUUCUAUAUUUGAUAUCCUGAAUGUUAAAGAGUUAUAAUUAAUAGUAGAAAUAUUAUUAUUUUAUCACUAAAAUUAUUCUGACAUAUCAUGUCAAUAAUAUAAUUUGCUGAAAAGUGUAUUUUACCACCAAAACAUUUGCACCAUUAUCAAUUUACCACCCUUCCGUUAAAAAUGUUAAAAAUUACUGAUAUUUUACUGAUGUCAUAAGGGUAUCAAACAUAUUUCCUAUUGAAGCCAAAAAAUUGUGUUGCAAAUGUAAAAUAAACAAUAAAACAAAAAAAAAUCAAGGGAAAUAAAUAAAGAAUUACGAAAUUGGUAACCCUAAAAUCAGCCCCUCUCUCUCAUUAAUUUUUCUUAAUUAAAUUGUUAUUAUUUUUAACUGUGAUUAAUACUUGAAUUUCAUAAAUUACAAUAUUAAUUUUGAAGCAAAUUUUUUAUUAGUUAUUUUCUUUGUCGUUUUCUUUUUUUUUUUAUAAUAGUAAUUCUGCAUAUUGUUCAUUAUUUUUUAUUAAUUACAAUUUUCAGUUGUUCUCUAGAUAUUAUUUUUGUUCAUUGUUUCUUUCUUUUCAAAGGGUAAAAUUAUAUUUUAUUCUCUUGGGGUAAAAUCAGCUUUUAACACAUUUUGAGUUAAACAUUAACGUUUUUUUAACGGAAUGGUGGUAAAUUAAUAACAGCACAAAUGUUUAGUGGUAAAAUACUCUUUUCAGCAAACCAUGGUACUGGCAUGAUAUGUCCGAAUAACUUUGGUGGUAAAAUGUAAUAUCCCUUAAUAGUAUUGUCUAACUAUUAAUUCAUUAUUAGUUUUUCUGAGAAAAAGAUUACAUUCCUUACCUGUUUAAAAAAUAAUUAUUUAACAUCAUAAAAUCUUUUGUGUUUUUCUUUUUUUAAAAACAAUAAUGAUUGAACCACAAAGAGUUUAUCCAAAGUUUACAAACUGAUGCAUAUAAAUUGAUGUGGCAUGAAUAGAUUAGCUGAAAAGUGAUAUUUUUUUUUUCAAUUAUGUGGUCCUAUGAUGGUUUAAUGCAGCCAACUCCCCAUGUCACAUUAGUUUGUACACACUUGUUUGUAUAAGGUGAUUGUGACUCUAUAAUUAUUAUAAAGAAAUAAGAUGUUAAUUACUAAUUAUUUGUACAUGGUGAUUGUGACUCUAUAAUUAUUAUAAAGAAAUAAGAUGUUAAUUACUAAUUAUUUGUACAUGGUGAUUGUGUCUCUAUAGUUACUAAAUGAAUAAGGUAUUUGUACACACUUAUUUUUACAAGGUGAUUGUGGCUCUAUAAUUACAUUUAUUUGCUCACUUUUGAAGGAAAUUUUUUUUUUCUUGAAAUAAGAGUUAUA